ACGAACGCUGGCGGCGUGCUUAACACAUGCAAGUCGAACGGAAAGGCCCUGCUUUUGUGGGGUGCUCGAGUGGCGAACGGGUGAGUAACACGUGAGUAACCUGCCCUUGACUUUGGGAUAACUUCAGGAAACUGGGGCUAAUACCGGAUAGGAGCUCCUGCUGCAUGGUGGGGGUUGGAAAGUUUCGGCGGUUGGGGAUGGACUCGCGGCUCAUCAGCUUGUUGGUGGGGUAGUGGCUUACCAAGGCUUUGACGGGUAGCCGGCCUGAGAGGGUGACCGGCCACAUUGGGACUGAGAUACGGCCCAGACUCCUACGGGAGGCAGCAGUGGGGAAUAUUGCACAAUGGACGGAAGCCUGAUGCAGCAACGCCGCGUGCGGGAUGACGGCCUUCGGGUUGUAAACCGCUUUCGCCUGUGACGAAGCGUGAGUGACGGUAAUGGGUAAAGAAGCACCGGCUAACUACGUG
RNAcentral lists this ribosomal RNA (467 nucleotides) under uncultured bacterium. RNAcentral describes it as "partial 16S ribosomal RNA". It matches the Rfam family "Bacterial small subunit ribosomal RNA", at positions 29 to 507 of the family's 1533-position model. The record is from RNAcentral.